RNAcentral lists this long non-coding RNA (1071 nucleotides) under Vigna radiata. RNAcentral describes it as "long non-coding RNA (VRAD_LNC013648)". The record is from RNAcentral. Lineage: Eukaryota; Viridiplantae; Streptophyta; Magnoliopsida; Fabales; Fabaceae.
CCAAUCCCAGUGUGCCUUCGAACAACACUCACAGAGGUCCUGUGAGACUCUGUCUUUAACCUCUAUUUCAGUAAUGGUGAUGUUGACGGCAACGUUCUUGGGCUCGGAGAAGAAGUCGUCCCUGAGUCNAACACGACUCAUGACGAAGCAGAGGUGUUGAGCGGCGGCGUUCGGUGGUGGAAAGGUGAGGCCGCCAUCAUCGUUGAUGGAGGAGAGGGACUGGUCCGAUGGUCGAAGGUAGGCUUUGCGACUUUGAGCAUGGAAGCAGUUCAGAUCGCGAUUCGCAACGGCAGGANGCGGUGGUUGUUGGCGGAGGGCGGCGAAGAAGUUGCGUGAGGGAAAACUAUGGUUGUGUGAUAGGCGGUUGACGGCGUCGCAGUGGUUGCCGGAAUGGCGUUCGGUGGAGGAAGACGCCCUUCUCGCUCUUGGGAGAGGAAACUGAGCUGGGUUGGGUGUUUGGUUCGAAUGGAGGGCCUCCUCAGGGUUUGGGGGGAAGUGAAAAAAACCCUAGGAGUUUUCUGAAUGGUGGGGUGGGCCUGGGUUUUGAUUUAAUUUGUUUGUAAUUUUUUUGUGUUGUUUUGACUAUUCCGUUUGCACCCCUAUUUCCCUUUUCACCACACCCAAAUCCCCUUUGGGGCUUCAGCCCAUUCGACCUAUAAAAUUUCCCUUCUGCGCCCCCAUGUUUGCUAGGUCAUACUCCAUUUCUAUUGGGCUUAGGUCCAAUCUGUUGCUAAAAUCUAAAAUUAGUUUGCAGCUUCCAUUUCCUAUGCACACCCAAUUUAUACUUGGGCUUAAGUCCAGUAUGUCAUGAUAAUUAAAUUGGGUUUGAACACCCUUUCUCUUAUUUAAGCACAUCCACACCCCUUCCUUUUAUCUAUUAGUUUACUUUUAUCUUUUACUUUUUAUUUUAUUCUCAUUUUUUAUUUAUCUAUCUUUUAUUUUUCUUUUUCUUUCUUUUUCUUUUGCCUCCAUUUUAAAAAUUUAUAUACCUUUUUCAAUAUACCUUUACAAAAUUAAAAAUGUAUUUUAAAGGGUUCUAGCACAUGUGUGAUCGCACGCAUCGUCCUUGUG